Molecule: ribosomal RNA, 476 nt
Filed under: uncultured organism
Description: partial 16S ribosomal RNA
Rfam family: Bacterial small subunit ribosomal RNA
Source: RNAcentral
CGUACACUCCUACGGGAGGCAGCAGUGGGGAAUUUUGGACAAUGGGCGAAAGCCUGAUCCAGCCAUGCCGCGUGCAGGAUGAAGGCCUUCGGGUUGUAAACUGCUUUUGUACGGAACGAAACGGCCUUUUCUAAUAAAGAGGGCUAAUGACGGUACCGUAAGAAUAAGCACCGGCUAACUACGUGCCAGCAGCCGCGGUAAUACGUAGGGUGCAAGCGUUAAUCGGAAUUACUGGGCGUAAAGCGUGCGCAGGCGGUUAUGUAAGACAGUUGUGAACUCCCCGGGCUCAACCUGGGAACUGCAUCUGUGACUGCAUAGCUAGAGUACGGUAGAGGGGGAUGGAAUUCCGCGUGUAGCAGUGAAAUGCGUAGAUAUGCGGAGGAACACCGAUGGCGAAGGCAAUCCCCUGGACCUGUACUGACGCUCAUGCACGAAAGCGUGGGGAGCAAACAGGAUUAGAAACCCGAGUAGUCCCA